This 2622-nucleotide ribosomal RNA is filed under the name Staphylococcus aureus VET0343R. RNAcentral's name for it is "bacterial LSU rRNA". It matches the Rfam family "Bacterial large subunit ribosomal RNA", at positions 3 to 2623 of the family's 2925-position model. Lineage: Bacteria; Bacillati; Bacillota; Bacilli; Caryophanales; Staphylococcaceae. The record is from RNAcentral.
UUAAGUUAUUAAGGGCGCACGGUGGAUGCCUUGGCACUAGAAGCCGAUGAAGGACGUUACUAACGACGAUAUGCUUUGGGGAGCUGUAAGUAAGCUUUGAUCCAGAGAUUUCCGAAUGGGGAAACCCAGCAUGAGUUAUGUCAUGUUAUCGAUAUGUGAAUACAUAGCAUAUCAGAAGGCACACCCGGAGAACUGAAACAUCUUAGUACCCGGAGGAAGAGAAAGAAAAUUCGAUUCCCUUAGUAGCGGCGAGCGAAACGGGAAGAGCCCAAACCAACAAGCUUGCUUGUUGGGGUUGUAGGACACUCUAUACGGAGUUACAAAGGACGACAUUAGACGAAUCAUCUGGAAAGAUGAAUCAAAGAAGGUAAUAAUCCUGUAGUCGAAAAUGUUGUCUCUCUUGAGUGGAUCCUGAGUACGACGGAGCACGUGAAAUUCCGUUGGAAUCUGGGAGGACCAUCUCCUAAGGCUAAAUACUCUCUAGUGACCGAUAGUGAACCAGUACCGUGAGGGAAAGGUGAAAAGCACCCCGGAAGGGGAGUGAAAUAGAACCUGAAACCGUGUGCUUACAAGUAGUCAGAGCCCGUUAAUGGGUGAUGGCGUGCCUUUUGUAGAAUGAACCGGCGAGUUACGAUUUGAUGCAAGGUUAAGCAGUAAAUGUGGAGCCGUAGCGAAAGCGAGUCUGAAUAGGGCGUUUAGUAUUUGGUCGUAGACCCGAAACCAGGUGAUCUACCCUUGGUCAGGUUGAAGUUCAGGUAACACUGAAUGGAGGACCGAACCGACUUACGUUGAAAAGUGAGCGGAUGAACUGAGGGUAGCGGAGAAAUUCCAAUCGAACCUGGAGAUAGCUGGUUCUCUCCGAAAUAGCUUUAGGGCUAGCCUCAAGUGAUGAUUAUUGGAGGUAGAGCACUGUUUGGACGAGGGGCCCCUCUCGGGUUACCGAAUUCAGACAAACUCCGAAUGCCAAUUAAUUUAACUUGGGAGUCAGAACAUGGGUGAUAAGGUCCGUGUUCGAAAGGGAAACAGCCCAGACCACCAGCUAAGGUCCCAAAAUAUAUGUUAAGUGGAAAAGGAUGUGGCGUUGCCCAGACAACUAGGAUGUUGGCUUAGAAGCAGCCAUCAUUUAAAGAGUGCGUAAUAGCUCACUAGUCGAGUGACACUGCGCCGAAAAUGUACCGGGGCUAAACAUAUUACCGAAGCUGUGGAUUGUCCUUUGGACAAUGGUAGGAGAGCGUUCUAAGGGCGUUGAAGCAUGAUCGUAAGGACAUGUGGAGCGCUUAGAAGUGAGAAUGCCGGUGUGAGUAGCGAAAGACGGGUGAGAAUCCCGUCCACCGAUUGACUAAGGUUUCCAGAGGAAGGCUCGUCCGCUCUGGGUUAGUCGGGUCCUAAGCUGAGGCCGACAGGCGUAGGCGAUGGAUAACAGGUUGAUAUUCCUGUACCACCUAUAAUCGUUUUAAUCGAUGGGGGGACGCAGUAGGAUAGGCGAAGCGUGCGAUUGGAUUGCACGUCUAAGCAGUAAGGCUGAGUAUUAGGCAAAUCCGGUACUCAUUAAGGCUGAGCUGUGAUGGGGAGAAGACAUUGUGUCUUCGAGUCGUUGAUUUCACACUGCCGAGAAAAGCCUCUAGAUAGAAAAUAGGUGCCCGUACCGCAAACCGACACAGGUAGUCAAGAUGAGAAUUCUAAGGUGAGCGAGCGAACUCUCGUUAAGGAACUCGGCAAAAUGACCCCGUAACUUCGGGAGAAGGGGUGCUCUUUAGGGUUAACGCCCAGAAGAGCCGCAGUGAAUAGGCCCAAGCGACUGUUUAUCAAAAACACAGGUCUCUGCUAAACCGUAAGGUGAUGUAUAGGGGCUGACGCCUGCCCGGUGCUGGAAGGUUAAGAGGAGUGGUUAGCUUCUGCGAAGCUACGAAUCGAAGCCCCAGUAAACGGCGGCCGUAACUAUAACGGUCCUAAGGUAGCGAAAUUCCUUGUCGGGUAAGUUCCGACCCGCACGAAAGGCGUAACGAUUUGGGCACUGUCUCAACGAGAGACUCGGUGAAAUCAUAGUACCUGUGAAGAUGCAGGUUACCCGCGACAGGACGGAAAGACCCCGUGGAGCUUUACUGUAGCCUGAUAUUGAAAUUCGGCACAGCUUGUACAGGAUAGGUAGGAGCCUUUGAAACGUGAGCGCUAGCUUACGUGGAGGCGCUGGUGGGAUACUACCCUAGCUGUGUUGGCUUUCUAACCCGCACCACUUAUCGUGGUGGGAGACAGUGUCAGGCGGGCAGUUUGACUGGGGCGGUCGCCUCCUAAAAGGUAACGGAGGCGCUCAAAGGUUCCCUCAGAAUGGUUGGAAAUCAUUCAUAGAGUGUAAAGGCAUAAGGGAGCUUGACUGCGAGACCUACAAGUCGAGCAGGGUCGAAAGACGGACUUAGUGAUCCGGUGGUUCCGUAUGGAAGGGCCAUCGCUCAACGGAUAAAAGCUACCCCGGGGAUAACAGGCUUAUCUCCCCCAAGAGUUCACAUCGACGGGGAGGUUUGGCACCUCGAUGUCGGCUCAUCGCAUCCUGGGGCUGUAGUCGGUCCCAAGGGUUGGGCUGUUCGCCCAUUAAAGCGGUACGCGAGCUGGGUUCAGAACGUCGUG